Molecule: ribosomal RNA, 502 nt
Filed under: uncultured bacterium
Lineage: Bacteria
Description: partial 16S ribosomal RNA
Rfam family: Bacterial small subunit ribosomal RNA
Source: RNAcentral
AUUGAACGCUGGCGGCAUGCUUUACACAUGCAAGUCGAACGGUAACAGGGUGCUUGCUCCCGGGUGACGAGUGGCGGACGGGUGAGUAACGUCUGGGAAACUGCCCGAUGGAGGGGGAUAACUACUGGAAACGGUAGCUAAUACCGCAUACCGUCGCAAGACCAAAGUGGGGGACCUUCGGGCCUCACACCAUCGGAUGUGCCCAGAUGGGAUUAGCUAGUAGGUGGGGUAAUGGCUCACCUAGGCGACGAUCCCUAGCUGGUCUGAGAGGAUGACCAGCCACACUGGAACUGAGACACGGUCCAGACUCCUACGGGAGGCAGCAGUGGGGAAUAUUGCACAAUGGGCGCAAGCCUGAUGCAGCCAUGCCGCGUGUAUGAAGAAGGCCUUCGGGUUGUAAAGUACUUUCAGCGGGGAGGAAGGCGGUGAAGUUAAUAGCUUCACCGAUUGACGUUACCCGCAGAAGAAGCACCGGCUAACUCCGUGCCAGCCGCCGCCGUAA